UGCCAGCAGCCGCGGUAAUACGGAGGGUGCAAGCGUUGUCCGGAUUUAUUGGGUUUAAAGGGUGCGUAGGCGGCUAAUUAAGUCAGUGGUGAAAGCCCGCAGCUCAACUGUGGAACUGCCAUUGAUACUGGUUAGCUUGAGUUUGGUUGAGGUAAGCGGAAUGGAUAGUGUAGCGGUGAAAUGCAUAGAUAUUAUCCAGAACACCGAUAGCGAAGGCAGCUUACUGGGCCGAUACUGACGCUGAGGCACGAAAGCAUGGGGAGCGAACAGGAUUAGAUA
Molecule: ribosomal RNA, 279 nt
Filed under: uncultured bacterium
Lineage: Bacteria
Description: partial 16S ribosomal RNA
Rfam family: Bacterial small subunit ribosomal RNA
Source: RNAcentral